CCUACGGGGGGCUGCAGUAGGGAAUCUUUCACAAUGGGCGAAAGCCUGAUGGAGCAACGCCGCGUGCAGGAUGAAGGCCUUCGGGUUGUAAACUGCUUUUAUAAGCGAGAAAUAUGAUGGUAACUUAUGAAUAAGGAUCGGCUAACUAAGUGCCAGCAGCCGCGGUCAUACGUAGGAUACGAACAUUAUCCGGAGUGACUGGGUGUAAAGAGUUGCGUAGGUGGCAUAAUAAGUAGCUAGUGAAAUCUGGUGGCUCAACCAUUCAGACUAUUGGCUAAACUGGUAAGCUCGAGACCGUUAGGGGUAACUGGAAUUUCUAGUGUAGGAGUGAAAUCCGUAGAUAUUAGAAAGAACACCAAUAGCGUAGGCAGGUUGCUGGGACGGUUCUGACACUAAGGCACGAAAGCGUAGGGAGCAAACGGGAUUAGAUACCCUGGUAGUC
Molecule: ribosomal RNA, 442 nt
Filed under: uncultured bacterium
Lineage: Bacteria
Description: partial 16S ribosomal RNA
Rfam family: Bacterial small subunit ribosomal RNA
Source: RNAcentral